Molecule: ribosomal RNA, 253 nt
Filed under: uncultured bacterium
Lineage: Bacteria
Description: partial 16S ribosomal RNA
Rfam family: Bacterial small subunit ribosomal RNA
Source: RNAcentral
UACGAAAGGGGCUAGCGUUGCUCGGAAUCACUGGGCGUAAAGGGCGCGUAGGCGGCCGAUCAAGUCGGGGGUGAAAGCCUGUGGCUCAACCACAGAAUUGCCUUCGAUACUGUUUGGCUAGAGACCGGAAGAGGUUAGUGGAACUGCGAGUGUAGAGGUGAAAUUCGUAGAUAUUCGCAAGAACACCAGUGGCGAAGGCGGCUAACUGGUCCGGUUCUGACGCUGAGGCGCGAAAGCGUGGGGAGCAAACAGG